UCAAAAAUGAGUUCAUGUCCUUUGUAGGGACAUGGAUGAACCUGAGGAUGAUGUUCUCCAGAUUCAUCCAUGUCCCUACAAACGACACAAACUCAUCAUUUCUGAUUGCUGCAUAAUAUUCCAUGGUGUAUAUGUGCCACAUUUUUCCAAUCCAGUCUAUUAUCAAUGGGCAUUUGGGUUGAUUCCAGGUCUUUGCUAUUGUAAACAGUGCUGCAAUGAACAUUCGUGUACAUGUGUCCUUAUAGUAGAAGGAUUUAUAGUCUUUUGGAUAUAUACCCAGUAAUGGGAUUGCUGGGUCAAAUGGAAUUUCUAUUUCUAAGGCCUUGAAAAAUCGCCACACCGUCUUCCACAAUGGUUGAACUAAUUUACACUCCCACCAACAGUGUAAAAGUGUUCCUUUUUCUCCACAUCCUCUCCAGCAUCUGUUGUCUCCAGAUUUUUUAAUGAUCGCCAUUCUAACUGGCGUGAGAUGGUAUCUCAAUGUGGUUUUGAUUUGCAUCUCUCUGAUGACCAGUGACGAUGAGCAUUUUUUCAUAUGAUUGUUGGCCUCAUAUAUGUCUUCUUUCGUAAAGUAUCUGUUCAUAUCCUUUGCCCACUUUUGAAUGGGCUUGUUUGUUUUUUUCCUAUAAAUCUCUUUGAGUUCUUUGUAAAUUCUGGAUAUCAGCCCUUUGUCAGAUGGGUAGACUGCGAAAAUUUUUUCCCAUUCUGUUGGUUGCCGAUCCACUCUAGUGACUGUUUCUUUUGCCGUGCAGAAGCUGUGGAGUUUCAUUAGGUCCCAUUUGUCUAUUUUGGCUUUUGUUGCCAAUGCUUUUGGUGUUUUGUUCAUGAAGUCCUUGCCUACUCCUAUGUCCUGGAUAGUUUUGCCUAGAUUUCCUUCUAGGGUUUUUAUCGUGCCAGGUCUUAUGUUUAAGUCUUUAAUCCAUCUGGAGUUAAUUUUAGUGUAAGGUGUCAGGAAGGGGUCCAGUUUCUGCUUUCUGCACAUGGCUAGCCAGUUUUCCCAACACCAUUUGUUAAACAUGGAAUCCUUUCCCCCUUGCUUGUUUUUGUCAGGUUUAUCAAAGAUUGUAUAGUUCUAUGUAUGUUGUGUUGCCUCCGGUGCCUCUGUUUUGUUCCAUUGGUCUAUAUCUCUGUUUUGGUACCAGUACCAUGCUGUUUUGAUUACUGUAGCCUUGUAGUAUAGUUUGAAAUCCGGUAGUGUGAUGCCCCCCGCUGUGUUCUUUUUGCUUAGAAUUGACUUGGCUAUGCGGGCUCUCUUUUGGUUCCAUAUGAAGUUCAUGGUGGUUUUUUCCAGUUCUGUGAAGAAAGUCAAUGGUAGCUUGAUGGGGAUAGCGUUGAUUCUGUAAAUUACUUUGGGCAGUAUAGCCAUUUUCACGAUAUUAAUUCUUCCUAACCAUGAACAUGGAAUGUUUCUCCAUCUGUUUGUGUCCUCUCUGAUUUCAUUGAGCAGUGGUUUGUAGUUCUCCUUGAAGAGGUCUCUUACGUUCCUUGUGAGUUGUAUUCCAAGGUAUUUUAUUCUUUUUGUAGCAAUUGCGAAUGGCAGUUCGCUCUUGAUUUGGCUUUCUUUAAGUCUGGUAUUGGUGUAGACGAAUGCUUGUGAUUUUUGCACAUUGAUUUUAUAUCCUGAGACUUUGCUGAAGUUGCUUAUCAGUUUCAGGAGUUUUUGGGCUGAGGCAAUGGGGUCUUCUAGGUAUACUAUCAUGUCGCCUGCAAAUAGAGACAAUUUGGCUUCCACCUUUCCUAUUUGAAUACCCUUUAUUUCUUUUUCUUGCCUGAUUGCUCUGGCUAGAACUUCCAGUACUAUAUUGAAUAGGAGUGGUGAAAGAGGGCAUCCUUGUCUAGUGCCAGAUUUCAAAGGGAAUGCUUCCAGUUUUUGCCCAUUCAGUAUGAUAUUGGCUGUUGGUUUGUCAUAAAUAGCUUUUAUUACUUUGAGAUACGUUCCAUCGAUACCGAGUUUAUUGAGGGUUUUUAGCAUAAAGGGCUGUUGAAUUUUGUCAAAUGCCUUCUCUGCAUCAAUUGAGAUAAUCAUGUGGUUUUUGUUUUUGGUUCUGUUUAUGUGGUGAAUUACAUUUAUAGACUUGCGUAUGUUGAACCAGCCUUGCACCCCCGGGAUGAAUCCUACUUGAUCAUGAUGAAUAAGUUUUUUGAUUUGCUGUUGCAAUCGGCUUGCCAAUAUUUUAUUGAAGAUUUUUGCAUCUAUGUUCAUCAUGGAUAUUGGCCUGAAGUUUUCUUUUCUUGUUGGGUCUCUGCCGGGUUUUGGUAUCAGAAUGAUGUUGGUCUCAUAAAAUGAUUUGGGAAGGAUUCCCUCUUUUUGGAUUGUUUGAAAUAGUUUUAGAAGAAAUGGUGCCAGCUCUUCCUUGUGUGUCUGGUAGAAUUCGGCUGUGAACCCGUCUGGACCUGGGCUUUUUUUGUGUGGUAGGCUCUUAAUUGCUGCCUCAACUUCAGACCUUGUUAUUGGUCUAUUCAUAGUUUCAGCUUCCUCCUGGUUUAGGCUUGGGAGGACACAGGAAUCCAGGAAUUUGUCCAUUUCUUCCAGGUUUACUAGUUUAUGCGCAUAGAGUUGUUUGUAAUAUUCUCUGAUGAUGGUUUGAAUUUCUGUGGAAUCUGUGGUGAUUUCCCCUUUAUCAUUUUUUAUUGCAUCGAUUUGGUUGUUCUCUCUUUUAUUUUUAAUCAAUCUGGCUAGUGGUCUGUCUAUUUUGUUGAUCUUUUCAAAAAACCAGCUCUUGGAUUUAUUGAUUUUUUGAAGGGUUUUUCGUGUCUCAAUCUCCUUCAGCUCAGCUCUGAUCUUAGUUAUUUCUUGUCUUCUUCUGGGUUUUGAGUUUUUUUGGUCUUGGUCCUCUAGCUCUUUCAAUUUUGACGAUAGGGUGUCAAUUUUGGAUCUCUCCAUUCUCCUCAUAUGGGCACUUAUUGCUAUAUACUUUCCUCUAGAGACUGCUUUAAAUGUGUCCCAGAGGUUCUGGCACGUUGUGUCUUCGUUCUCAUUGGUUUCGAAGAACUUCUUUAUUUCUGCCUUCAUUUCGUUGUUUACCCAGUCAACAUUCAAGAGCCAGUUGUUCAGUUUCCAUGAAGCUGUGCGGUUCUGAGU
This is a long non-coding RNA of Callithrix jacchus (white-tufted-ear marmoset), 3082 nucleotides long. NCBI's taxonomy places the organism in Eukaryota, Metazoa, Chordata, Mammalia, Primates, Cebidae. The record is from Ensembl.